GCAGCAUGGCUAGAGCAGGGGACUAGGGCGCGGGAAGCAGGUUGUGGCCCGGGACCCACAGCCACCGAGGUUGUGGGUCCGGGCAGGCCUCCCGAGAGAGUCCAGGAAGUAGGAGUUUUAGGAAUUCGGAAAGCGGGUGCAGACUUCUGACUGGCUGUUUGAUUUGAGCCCUGUCUCUGGUCUCAAUCUUGUUUCUCCGCAAGGCUUACUUAAGUUUUUACAUUAUCCUAUCAUCAUCAUCACUAUUUUAACGGUCCACUGUAUGUAAGCCCUGGUGGUUCUGCGCAGGGAGCCUGCAGAGCACCUUGAGUUACAGGCUGGGGGAAUGAAGACUUGAAGAAGCUUGAAGCAUGGUCUUUACAUCAAAUGUUGGAGGUAAGCUACGUUUUCCUGGAUGUGAAAAUAGGGCGUUGCACUGCUCUUAAGUAAUACAAGAAGGUGAAACUCAGUGAUGCGAUGAUGAGUGAAGUAGAGUCUGACCUGGUACUGCCACUGCUUCAGUGUUGGCUUUGACCAGGGUUGAGGUGAAAAAUCUGGCUUUGAAAUCUUCCUGGAGGACCACAUCAUUUCAGUCCUGAAUCUGGUUCAGUUCUUUUUUUUAACUUAAUAUUGCAUUAAAAAUGUUUUGCUAAUAA
Molecule: long non-coding RNA, 635 nt
Organism: Otolemur garnettii (small-eared galago)
Lineage: Eukaryota; Metazoa; Chordata; Mammalia; Primates; Galagidae
Exons: 3
Source: RefSeq, a predicted model, not a curated record